This 779-nucleotide long non-coding RNA is filed under the name Heterocephalus glaber (naked mole-rat). RNAcentral describes it as "lncRNA (ENSHGLG00000040725.1)". The record is from RNAcentral. Lineage: Eukaryota; Metazoa; Chordata; Mammalia; Rodentia; Bathyergidae.
AUUACUUCUGUCAUUAGAAGCCAUGCAAGGGAAUCCUUUAGUGGAGGAUGUGGCUUGGGCAGACUUUUCAAAAGUUAACUUAUCUGAAUGAAUUAGAAAGUCAGAAAUCAGAUGUCAAUUACCUGAGCAACUUUUGCCUAUCUCCUGGGUCAUACUAAGUCUUUUUUUUUAAUUCCACUAUUUUUAGAAGCCCAUUCUGCACAUUUUAAGAAAGAAGAUAACUAGGAUAGUUGAUCCAGAAUUCACUUUAAAAAAAGUGGAAGAUAUCAUAGAGCAGCAAAAUGGACUCAGAUGCCUGACAAGAGUAUAAAGGGCAUCUUUAUUUAGGGCAUCUGGUUUAGCAGGUGCCUGAGUGUCAGCAGAAGGGCACAGUGAUUCCCCCUGAAUAGUGCAGUGUCUCUUUUCUGCAUAAUGAGAGGCUCAUGUUUCUAGGUCAGAUCAGGAGAAAACCUGACAAGAAGGGUUAUCGUUGCCACUUGUUCAGUUCCACACUCUUGUAGGUCAGCAAACAGAGCACUGGCAUGGGUCUGAAGCUGUGAUUGGUCUUGCACAAGACAUGUCCUCCAGAAGGCAUCUUCUUGCACCCAAGUCUCAGGAAAACAACCUCCAACCCAGAUUGAUGUUGCCUGCAAAACGAUCUUUCAAAAGCAAUGGAGAAAUAAGAUACUUUCAAGACAAAGAACAACUGAGGAACUUCAUGAAUAUCAAAUCAGCACUCCAGAAAAUUUUAAACAAUAUCCUAGGAAAAGAAAAUGACACAGCCUCAUGAAGCCCAGCAG